CCGGAACUGCCUACUCAAGACCGGAUUCAACACACCAGAUGGUCAUGUUACUAUCACACAUGUCAAGGAAGCUUUCAAGAUCGACUCUUGCAAUGUGACUCUUAAGGCUAUGCCUGGUAUUACAAGCAGCCAUUUGCAGCCCAAUAAUUUUGAGAAAAUGAGGGUCAGCUAUGCUUUCCAGCUGUUCGGUCCAAAAGUUCUCCAGGCACUCAACCUCUACAAGCCAGAACUAGAGACGACAUGGGGAAGCAUUCUGGGAACGCAAGUCUUUUUCAAGAGAAUUCAAGAGCUCAUCGCAGCUAUGACAUCACGAUUUCCGAAGGACGCUCUCAAGCCC
Long non-coding RNA from Ornithodoros turicata, 337 nucleotides. RefSeq lists it as uncharacterized. The transcript has 3 exons. NCBI's taxonomy places the organism in Eukaryota, Metazoa, Arthropoda, Arachnida, Ixodida, Argasidae. The record is from RefSeq and is a predicted model, not a curated record.